AUUGAACGCUGGCGGCAGGCCUAACACAUGCAAGUCGAGCGGAUGAAGGGAGCUUGCUCCUGGAUUCAGCGGCGGACGGGUGAGUAAUGCCUAGGAAUCUGCCUGGUAGUGGGGGAUAACGUCCGGAAACGGGCGCUAAUACCGCAUCCGUCCUGAGGGAGAAAGUGGGGGAUCUUCGGACCUCACGCUAUCAGCUGAGCCUAGGUCGGAUUAGCUAGUUGGUGGGGUAAAGGCCUACCAAGGCGACGAUCCGUAACUGGUCUGAGAGGAUGAUCAGUCACACUGGAACUGAGACACGGUCCAGACUCCUACGGGAGGCAGCAGUGGGGAAUAUUGGACAAUGGGCGAAAGCCUGAUCCAGCCAUGCCGCGUGUGUGAAGAAGGUCUUCGGAUUGUAAAGCACUUUAAGUUGGGAGGAAGGGCAGUAAGUUAAUACCUUGCUGUAUUGACGUUACCAACAGAAUAAGCACCGGCUAACUUCGUG
This 484-nucleotide ribosomal RNA is filed under the name uncultured bacterium. Its description in RNAcentral is "partial 16S ribosomal RNA". It matches the Rfam family "Bacterial small subunit ribosomal RNA", at positions 30 to 507 of the family's 1533-position model. The record is from RNAcentral.